CUUAUACUCCCCCUGUUCCAAAUUAGUUGACUUGAAUUUGUCUAAAUACGGAUGUAUCUAUACUUUUUUAGUGUUUAGAUACAUCAGUGUCUACAUAAAUAUGAGUCCAGUAAUUUGGAAUGGGGGGAGUAUUUA
This is a non-coding RNA of Triticum aestivum (bread wheat), 135 nucleotides long. NCBI's taxonomy places the organism in Eukaryota, Viridiplantae, Streptophyta, Magnoliopsida, Poales, Poaceae. The record is from Rfam.